Molecule: long non-coding RNA, 473 nt
Organism: Marmota monax (woodchuck)
Lineage: Eukaryota; Metazoa; Chordata; Mammalia; Rodentia; Sciuridae
Exons: 5
Source: RefSeq, a predicted model, not a curated record
AGAGAAGUGCAACGAGCAUGAAUUGGGAAUAAGAUAUGGAAGGUCUGUCACUGCUUAAGUCACCUCGGGUCACGUCCAAUAAAACACUGAAGGUAGGAAGUCCAAGAUCAAGACACUGGAAAAUUAUGUAUCUAUGAAGAACUGCAUCCUGGUUCAUAAUGAGUUUUCUUUUCACUGUGAUCUCAUGGCAGAAGAGGGUUCUUCAGCUGUGGAGCAAAGGCAUGGGAAACUGAGACACUGUCCAGCCUAUGUAGCUUUCUUCAGUCUUUGGAAACUGGCUCACAAUGGACCCAAUGGACCCUUUUGUCUCUGCUGCACAACUGGACAAAACAGUGCUGUAUUACUAAGAAGUUCAUAAAAGACAGGACAUUGGACUUCUUUCCUCCUCCUUUGAGUCUCGGCACUAAUUUUGUCUCCCCAUCUCCUUGUCUUUGUUAGAAGCAAAACCUACCAUUUCAAUAUGUAAUAUGUGG